Long non-coding RNA from Cyprinus carpio carpio, 1242 nucleotides. Lineage: Eukaryota; Metazoa; Chordata; Actinopteri; Cypriniformes; Cyprinidae. The record is from Ensembl.
GGAGACGACAGGAGUUUCUGAAAGAGCAGCGGUGACAGACAAUUGUAGACCUGUUCCUAUUAGGGGUUAAAAAGAAAAUGAGGUUCAUGCUGAUACAAUGGAUCGAAGAUCCCCCAAAAUGGGAUGUGCUUCCAACCAAUAAAAUGAUACAUGGCUGCUGUGAAAUUGGUUGUAUAUGUGACGUUUCAUACGAAGAUGAGUCAAGCCCUGCAAAAAUUUUAAACAUUGGAACUAGAUCUGCAAUGCUGAAGCAGCUAAAUACGGUCAUCAACAGGACUGGGCCUGAAGGAAAUGGAGAACAAUUAGGGAGAGGGCAGCGCAAAAAAUACCGCCGAAUACUGUCGGAGAGCUCCAGCAGUGAGGAAUAUGAGUCUGUCAACAAACAGGUUGCUGCAAAGACCAUAAACAGGAUACGAGCCAGAUCUUUUCUCCAGCAGUAUAAUCAAGAAAAAGAAUCAAACAGGGAGGCAGUAACAUCUAGAAACCGUGACAGUGAAUUUAAUGUUCAAAUACUUGCAGAACUGAGAGAAAUCAAGAGUGUUCUUUUGGAAACUCUGACACUUUUAAAAAAUGGAUGCACUCCAUUAAUGACUGUGCCAAUCCCAAACACAUUGGGAACUCCUCCUGGACCCACUUCAGAUUUGAUCCCCUGCAGUUCAGAGUCUUCUGCAGUCAUACCAGCCCCGAGUUCCUCUCUUCAGACUCUUUAUGUAAAGGAGUCUAGAAGUAAUGGUAACUGCAAAAAGGUAAGAAUUGGCUCCAACACAUCAAUCUCUGCUGAACAGUUUGCCCACGUAAAAUGGACUGAUCACAAAAAAGCCACAAAAGACCUCUUGAUGGCAGUGUUUGGAAGAGGCAUUCUCGCAACACACUGCUACAGUGGAAGAUGUUCCAAUGCAUUCAAAAACAAAGCAGCCAAGCCUCAACUUGAUUCUGAAAAAGUUUCUGACAUCAUUAGCUACAUCAAAAAUAAAUUCAAUGUUGAAGCAAAUGUAAUUAAGAAGGCCAUCUCCCAGAAAUGCACAGACGAGUGCAAGUUGGCAAAACGGCACCACAGUGAUUGUGUGUGACUGUAUGUACAUCAGACUGGUUUGUUCAGGAAUGUUGUAUUUCCCAGUUACUGCUUUAUAUUUAUUGUGUGGUUUGUUUGUUUGUUUGUUUGUGAAAGCCUGUAAUGAAUAUAGUCUGAACAGAGUACAAAAAAAGGUAAUAAAUGCAAUAUAAUUCAAGUUAUGAAAGAAG